Molecule: long non-coding RNA, 119 nt
Organism: Sapajus apella (tufted capuchin)
Lineage: Eukaryota; Metazoa; Chordata; Mammalia; Primates; Cebidae
Exons: 3
Source: RefSeq, a predicted model, not a curated record
AGAAUUAGGGUUUUGCUCUGGGUUAGGCUUUGACUUAAGGCCACUUAAACUUUCUUCCUAUCAGCAAUAAGGCUGUUUUGCUUUAUCAAUUUCAUGUGCUCACUUCAUUAAAACUUCAA